This 467-nucleotide ribosomal RNA is filed under the name uncultured bacterium. RNAcentral describes it as "partial 16S ribosomal RNA". It matches the Rfam family "Bacterial small subunit ribosomal RNA", at positions 28 to 506 of the family's 1533-position model. The record is from RNAcentral.
GACGAACGCUGGCGGCGUGCUUAACACAUGCAAGUCGAACGGAAAGGCCCUGCUUUUGUGGGGUGCUCGAGUGGCGAACGGGUGAGUAACACGUGAGUAACCUGCCCUUGACUUUGGGAUAACCUCAGGAAACUGGGGCUAAUACCGGAUAGGAGCUCCUGCUGCAUGGUGGGGGUUGGAAAGUUUCGGCGGUUGGGGAUGGACUCACGGCUUAUCAGCUUGUUGGUGGGGUAGUGGCUUACCAAGGCUUUGACGGGUAGCCGGCCUGAGAGGGUGACCGGCCACAUUGGGACUGAGAUAAGGCCCAGACUCCGACGGGAGGCAGCAGUGGGGAAUAUUGCACAAUGGGCGGAAGCCGGAGGCAGCAACGCCGCGUGCGGGAGGACGGCCUUCGGGUUGUAAACCGCUUUCGCCUGUGACGAAGCGUGAGUGACGGGAAUGGGUAAAGAAGCACCGGCUAACUACGU